Molecule: ribosomal RNA, 468 nt
Filed under: uncultured bacterium
Lineage: Bacteria
Description: partial 16S ribosomal RNA
Rfam family: Bacterial small subunit ribosomal RNA
Source: RNAcentral
GACGAACGCUGGCGGCGUGCUUAACACAUGCAAGUCGAACGGAAAGGCCCUGCUUUUGUGGGGUGCUCGAGUGGCGAACGGGUGAGUAACACGUGAGUAACCUGCCCUUGACUUUGGGAUAACUUCAGGAAACUGGGGCUAAUACCGGAUAGGAGCUCCUGCUGCAUGGUGGGGGUUGGAAAGUUUCGGCGGUUGGGGAUGGUUUCGCGGCUUAUCAGCUUGUUGGUGGGGUAGUGGUUUACCAAGGGUUUGACGGGUAGCCGGCCUGAGAGGGUUACCGGCCACAUGGGGACUGCGAGACGGAGCAGACGGCUAUGGGAGGCAGCAGUGGGGAAUAUUGCACAAUGGGGGGACGCGUGAUGUAGAAAUGUUGCGAGCGGGAUGCUGGGCUACGGGUUGUAAACAGCUGUGGCCGGUGCUGAAGCGUUAGUGACGGUAAUGGGUAAAGAAGCACCGGCUAACUACGUG